GGCGGGUUUCUUAAGUCUGAUGUGAAAGCCCCCGGCUCAACCGGGGAGGGUCAUUGGAAACUGGGAAACUUGAGUGCAGAAGAGGAGAGUGGAAUUCCACGUGUAGCGGUGAAAUGCGUAGAGAUGUGGAGGAACACCAGUGGCGAAGGCGACUCUCUGGUCUGUAACUGACGCUGAGGAGCGAAAGCGUGGGGAGCGAACAGGAUUAGAUACCCUGGUAGUCCACGCCGUAAACGAUGAGUGCUAAGUGUUAGGGGGUUUCCGCCCCUUAGUGCUGCAGCUAACGCAUUAAGCACUCCGCCUGGGGAGUACGGUCGCAAGACUGAAACUCAAAGGAAUUGACGGGGGCCCGCACAAGCGGUGGAGCAUGUGGUUUAAUUCGAAGCAACGCGAAGAACCUUACCAGGUCUUGACAUCCUCUGACAACCCUAGAGAUAG
Molecule: ribosomal RNA, 438 nt
Filed under: Bacillus safensis
Lineage: Bacteria; Bacillati; Bacillota; Bacilli; Caryophanales; Bacillaceae
Description: bacterial SSU rRNA
Rfam family: Bacterial small subunit ribosomal RNA
Source: RNAcentral